This 339-nucleotide unclassified non-coding RNA is filed under the name soil metagenome. RNAcentral's name for it is "partial contains 5.8S ribosomal RNA, internal transcribed spacer 2, and large subunit ribosomal RNA". The stretch from base 3 to 119 matches the Rfam family "5.8S ribosomal RNA", at positions 38 to 154 of the family's 154-position model. The record is from RNAcentral.
GAGAAGAACGUAGUGAAAUGCGAUAAGUAAUGUGAAUUGCAGAGUUCAGUGAAUCAUCGAAUCUUUGAACGCACAUUGCGCCCGUCAGUAUUCUGACGGGCAUGCCUGUCCGAGCGUCAUUUCAACCCUCAAGCACUGCUUGGCGUUGGCGGAUUGCGUGCCCUCGCGGCGCUGCAACCGCCCAAAUACAGUGGCGGUCCCGCUGCGGCUCCCUUUGCGUAGUAACUCACCUCGCACUGGACCGGGCGGCGGCCUGCCGUAAAACCCCAACUCACGAAAUGUUGACCUCGGAUCAGGUAGGAAUACCCGCUGAACUUAAGCAUAUCAAUAAGCGGAGGA